UUUCCCUACGGGAGGCAGCAGUGGGGAAUAUUGCACAAUGGGGGAAACCCUGAUGCAGCAACGCCGCGUGAGUGAAGAAGUAUUUCGGUAUGUAAAGCUCUAUCAGCAGGGAAGAAGAAAGACGGUACCUGACUAAGAAGCCCCGGCUAACUACGUGCCAGCAGCCGCGGUAAUACGUAGGGGGCAAGCGUUAUCCGGAUUUACUGGGUGUAAAGGGAGCGUAGACGGCAUAGCAAGUCUGAAGUGAAAGCCCGCGGCUCAACCGCGGAACUGCUUUGGAAACUUUUCGGCUAGAGUACCGGAGG
This 305-nucleotide ribosomal RNA is filed under the name uncultured bacterium. RNAcentral's name for it is "bacterial SSU rRNA". It matches the Rfam family "Bacterial small subunit ribosomal RNA", at positions 334 to 655 of the family's 1533-position model. The record is from RNAcentral.